UGUAUAUUCUAGCAUGUCUUUUAUAUUGGAGCUAGGGCGCGAGAACAACUAAGGUGAAUACGGAUUUGGGAAUUGUAAGUUAUAGAGGGGUUUUUUAGUCAUAUAGCCUCAAAAUCAGUUAAUUCGGACUGAACAUAACCAUGGAGCGCAAGAAACUUCUUGUCCAUGGGGACUAAGAAUACAAUUCCGGUUCAAGCAGGGAUCCAGAGGACAAUUUCAUAAGUGA
This 226-nucleotide long non-coding RNA is filed under the name Phoenix dactylifera (date palm). Its description in RNAcentral is "long non-coding RNA (PDAC_LNC002738)". The record is from RNAcentral. Lineage: Eukaryota; Viridiplantae; Streptophyta; Magnoliopsida; Arecales; Arecaceae.